Molecule: ribosomal RNA, 486 nt
Filed under: uncultured bacterium
Lineage: Bacteria
Description: bacterial SSU rRNA
Rfam family: Bacterial small subunit ribosomal RNA
Source: RNAcentral
UACGAGGACGAACGCUGGCGGCGUGCUUAACACAUGCAAGUCGUGCGGAAAGGCCCCUUUGGGGGUGCUCGAGCGGCGAACGGGUGAGUAACACGUGAGUAAUCUGCCCUGCACUUUGGGAUAACUGCCGGAAACGGUGGCUAAUACUGGAUAGGACUGCAUCCUGCAUGGGGUGUGGUGGAAAGCCUUUGGGUGGUGUGGGAUGUGCUCGCGGCCUAUCAGCUUGAUGGUGGGGUAGUGGCCUACCAUGGCUUUGACGGGUAGCCGGCCUGAGAGGGUGACCGGUCACACUGGGACUGAGACACGGCCCAGACUCCUGCGGGAGGCAGCAGUGGGGAAUAUUGGACAAUGGGCGGAAGCCUGAUCCAGCAACGCCGCGUGAGGGAUGACGGCCUUCGGGUUGUAAACCUCUUUCGCUCAUGACGAAGCUCUGCUUUUUUGGGUGGGGUGACGGUAGUGGGAGAAGAAGCACCGGCCAACUACGUG